RNAcentral lists this long non-coding RNA (398 nucleotides) under Homo sapiens (human). Its description in RNAcentral is "HSALNT0163676". The record is from RNAcentral. Lineage: Eukaryota; Metazoa; Chordata; Mammalia; Primates; Hominidae.
GUGUGGAACCUGGAAUUCAAACGGCUGGGUAGGAAGCACGCUAGCAGGGGCCUCUGGCCUUGCUGAGGGUCCCUGUUUCCCCUUUUCCUUCCUUUUCACCCAACAAAACCCUGCUUUACUCACCCUUCAAACCAUCUAUGAGCCUAAAUUGUCGUGGUCGUGGAAUGGACAAGGACCCAGUCUUUAGCUGAACUAAGGGAAAGUCCUGCUUUUUGGCGCGCAACAGGGGAGCUCAAGAAACAGGCCUCACUCACGGCAUAUGGAACUAACCACGCCCCUAACUAAGAAGGCACACCUUAGUUGCAGUUAGCACACAAUUAAAGCAACUCUCCAAGUUUUACCUUAAAGUUCAAAAUUGCUAGGAGUUGAAACUACUAGAAAUAUAUUUACAUGCAAGG